GGUGCAACAGCUACAAUCCCACUGCAACACUUGCAGCGGUACUGGUGAGGUUAUCCCGCCCUCUGCAAGAUGUGGAAAGUGCUCUGGUGAAAAGGUGGUACAAGAGCGCAAAGUGUUGGAAGUAUAUGUCGAACCUGGGAUGGAGCAUGGCCAAAAAAUAACUUUUACU
This 169-nucleotide non-coding RNA is filed under the name Rhodosorus marinus. Lineage: Eukaryota; Rhodophyta; Stylonematophyceae; Stylonematales; Stylonemataceae. The record is from RNAcentral.